Macaca mulatta (Rhesus monkey) is the source of this 2298-nucleotide non-coding RNA. Lineage: Eukaryota; Metazoa; Chordata; Mammalia; Primates; Cercopithecidae. The record is from RefSeq and is a predicted model, not a curated record.
UUUAAAAUAUGUCCACAAAUUCUUAGAUAGCCUCUUUAAAAGGUAAAACCUAAUCCCACUCUCCCAUCCCUGGUUGAGUGUAGGUUAAACUUAGCUACUUACUUCUAAUGUUCAGAAUGAGCUGGAGGCAAUGGUUUGUGAAUUCUAUAUCAGACACACAAAAAGCAUGUGGCUUCCUACUUACCCUCGACCUGCAAGGAGAAACCAGUUUCAUGUCAAUACUUAGCCAGCCCCUAUGAAGAAGCCUACACGGUAAAGAGCUGAGUCCUCUUGCCAACAGCCAGCAAGAAACAUAAAGGUGGGACAUCUUCGAAGCAGAUUUCUUAUCCUCAGUUAAGCCAACAGAUGGCUGCAGCCCCAGCAGAUAUUUCAACUGCAACCUCUUUGAAGUCUGUAAGUCAGAAAUACCUAAAAUACCAGAUCCCACACUGAACUCAAGGGAACUUUCAAGAAUAUGCACAGGGGCUAAAGCAGGAGAGACCAGUGGAAGGUAAACCCAGCCCAACUGAACGAGUUUUAUAAUGCUGAUUUUUGAAGAUUACAACAGUGAGGCUUGGAGAAGUGAAGUAAUUAGCCCAGAAGUCCAUGCUGUUGCUACUAAAACAAGCUGCCCGUGGUAGGUACAAAGUGCUCUUAAGGAAGACCUGUUCUGGUGAGCUGCCAUGAGGGAAGUGAAAGGCACACUCCAGGAAGACAACUUAUACUUCUUUUAUUCAAUUUAUUACUAAGAAACUAUUUCAUGCUAUUGUGAGUAAAAUUAUUUUCUUAAUUUUCAGAUCAUUUGUUGAUAUCAUAAAUGCAAUUCAUUUUUGAAUACUGAUCUUAUAUCCUGAGACUUUGCAAAAGAUUCUGUUAAUGUGAGAAGUUUUGUAUGUGUGCAUUCCUUAGAAAUUUCUACAUACAAGGCCAUACCAUCUGCAAAUAUAGGCAGUUUUACGUCUUUCUUUACAGUCACUAUUCUGUUUGUUUCUUUUUCUUGCACAGACUAAAAACUCCAAUAAAAUUUUUGAAUAGAAAUGUGGGUAUCUUUCUCUGUUCCCAACCACAGGGUGAGACCAUUCAGCCUUUCACCAAUAUGAAUAACGUUAGCUAUAAUUUUGGGGCAGAUGGUUUUUAUUACUUGAGAAUGUUCCUCUCUAUUUUUAUUGUCAUUGAGAGUUUCUAUCAUGAAUAGAGAUUGAAUAUUGUCACAUGAUGUUUCUGGACCUUGGUGCUAUGUGAUGAGACUGCAUCUUACUUAAACUUUGGCAGUAGCUGACUUCCUCUGAGACCACCGCAGUAGGGGAAGAGGAUACAUCAUCUCAUGGUUUCCAGGUUUCUCACUCUGUCUCUGUUGACUCCCAGGUUGGGUGGGGUGGGGGAGACUCCUUGUUACUGCUGGGUGGGGAUGGGAUUUUCCGUUUCCCUCUAGGCCUCACCUGGCACUUCCUCUGCUGGGAAGGGUGGCAGUGCCAUGUGGGUGCUCCCCUAUGGCCUCCAGUGCCACAAUGGAAGGAGAGGCCUGGCCCCUAGCCACACUCUCUGUACCACCCUGGUGGGGUUGGCGUGCUUUGUUACAGUCCCAGAAAGUCUUGACUUCUGGGGCUGUGAUGUUUGACUGGAUUCGAGCAGUUACUGUAUAACGUUUUCUGUUGUGUUAGGACGUCUCUUUCCAGAUUCUUUUAUUGGCAGAAGAGAAUUUUUCUGGCUUUGAAGAGGCUUUUAAAAAUCAAUUAACUUAUUUUCACCACGCUCACUGACAUCUCAAGGUUGCCAGCUGCUUCAGCCCCAACUUGGCAUAAAAAAGGCAAAAGAAAAGUCAAGGAACUCACCUUGUGCUGUUUCUCAAGAUCUCCUGCCAGCCUGCCUUCUCUUCCUCACCUUUUGCAAUUGUCUCAUGUUUGUUUUACAGAUGAUGUUCAGGGAUUUUAGUUAUACUUAGUGGGAAGAGUAAAGAAAAGUACAAAUUUUAAAAAGUACAUCUACUUCCUGUUUAAGCUUUUCUAAUUAUGAAACGAUUAUUUUAUCCUAGUAAGAUUUCUGGUCUUAAAGGUAUAUUUUGUGAUACUAAUUUAAAGUGCUAGGUCGGUUACGGUUACAGUAAAGUUUAAGCUACUUUUUGUUUCAUUUUCUUAAUGGUUGUUCAAGGGGUUAUCAUAUAUAUCUUAGAUUAUUAUAAUCUAUUUCAGAUAAUUACUUUAUUUUGGUAAAAUGUAGCAGGUUUGCUCCCAUAUGGUUUUAUUUUCUACCCUUUCCUGUGUCCAAUUAUCAUCAUUUAUAUCAUAUAAAUAAUUGUUAUAAACCAGCAAAUACUCUUAA